Long non-coding RNA from Tympanuchus pallidicinctus (lesser prairie-chicken), 823 nucleotides. RefSeq lists it as uncharacterized. The record is from RefSeq and is a predicted model, not a curated record. NCBI's taxonomy places the organism in Eukaryota, Metazoa, Chordata, Aves, Galliformes, Phasianidae. The transcript has 3 exons.
GGCAGGGCCAACCCAGCAGAGAGCUCAGGUUCAUUUAAGUGUUGUCAGGGGAGGCAAGGGUAUCUUGCUGGAGACCUCUGCAUGCCUGAGGCCUUCUGAAGGAUAUUUUUUGUGUUCAUCAGAACUCUUCUGUUGUACAGUACAGAAAUAUUGACGGUGAGUUUCAUAUGUAAAACUGCUUAAAACAGAGGAAAUACCUGAAGAUGAGAUCCAUCAACAUCCAUCUUACAAAAUUAAAGAUAUGUCUUGAAUGACCUAACUUUUUAGAUGUUAUUAAUAUGUACAAGUGAAAUGUUCAUUGUGUUCCACUUGCAGUACUCACAUGCUCUAAGGGCAGAUAUGUUGAACACAGGAAACAGAUGUUUUCAAAAGUAGGUCAGAAUCAAAAUAACAUAACAACACGCAGUGAUGACAGAAUGUCAUAAGAUAUAAUGCAGUCAAUUCAGGUGCCUAAAUCAAGGUGUCUUUUGCCCUCUGAGGCUCUUGUAUAUCUGAAGCACCUGACUGGUGCUUUCCCCUAAACCACCUUACCAUUCUGGACCCGCAGUUAGACCUCAAGAGUGGUAUCAUUAAUUGUAUUAGGUGCUCUGCAUUUAUUAUGGAAAGUCAUGGAUCUGAACUUAGUUCAGCAUUUGCCCUGUGGCUUUAAAGAUGCUUUUAACAAAUCAGAAGUGUAUCUGCAAUCCAAACACAAAAUCAACUAGACUGCAUAGAUUUCUCUAAAUCUUAGAAGAAAGGGCUUCAACAUAUGUGGGAAGACCUACAUUUGCUCUUGUGAAACUGCACACCUUUGAAUAAACACUCCUUUUGAUUUUGAUUUGAA